AUCAACUUUCGAUGGUAGGAUAGAGGCCUACCAUGGUGGUAACGGGUAACGGGGUGUUAGGGCACGACACCGGAGAGGGAGCCUGAGAAACGGCUACCACAUCCAAGGAUGGCAGCAGGCGCGCAAAUUACCCAAUCCCGACACGGGGAGGUAGUGACAAUAAAUAACAAUACGGGGGUUCUUUAGGAUCUCGUAAUUGGAAUGAGUACAAUUUAAAUCUCUUAACGAGGAACAAUUGGAGGGCAAGUCUGGUGCCAGCAGCCGCGGUAAUUCCAGCUCCAAUAGCGUAUAUUAAAGUUGUUGCAGUUAAAAAGCUCGUAGUUGAAUUUCGGGGUUAGUAGGUUGGUCAUGCCUCUGGUAUGUACUGGUCUCACUGAUUCCUCCUUCCUGAUGAACCUUAAUGCCAUUAAUUUGGUGUUUUGGGGAAUUUGGACUGUUACUUUGAAAAAAUUAGAGUGUUUAAAGCAAGCUAACGCUUGAAUACAUUAGCAUGGAAUAAUGAAAUAGGACGUUCGAUCCUAUUUUGUUGGUUUCUAGGAUUGACGUAAUGAUUAAUAGGGAUAGUUGGGGGCAUUAGUAUUCAAUUGUCAGAGGUGAAAUUCUUGGAUUUAUUGAAGACUAACUACUGCGAAAGCAUUUGCCAAGGAUGUUUUCAUUAAUCAAGAACGAAAGUUAGGGGAUCGAAGACGAUCAGAUACCGUCGUAGUCUUAACCAUAAACUAUGCCGACUAGGGAUCGGAUGAUGUUAAUUUUUUAAUGACUCAUUCGGCGCCUUACGGGAAACCAAAGUGUUUGGGUUC
RNAcentral lists this ribosomal RNA (800 nucleotides) under uncultured Glomeromycotina. Its description in RNAcentral is "SSU rRNA". It matches the Rfam family "Eukaryotic small subunit ribosomal RNA", at positions 314 to 1114 of the family's 1831-position model. Lineage: Eukaryota; Fungi; Glomeromycota. The record is from RNAcentral.